CACAAAGCGAUGCGGACGGGCGAGCUGUUCCGCGGCGCGGCGCCAGAGGGUCCGGAGAGAAACCCCGCGGCCGGGUAUGAAGGAGGGCAUUCCUGUCCCUUGCCACUGCUGAGUGACUUGAAAGGGUCCGUCCACAGCCUGCCACCACCCUGAUGGAGUUACCAACCCUGAUGAAUGUUACAGCUUCAGCUGAAAGAUUUUCUUCAUUUGUCGUCGGAAACAUCAUGCCAAAAACCAUUACAAAGUGGAAGAGCUUUUGCCAGUGACAGACUUUUUCCAUGGCAGUCCAUUGCAUUGGAACAGUUGGAUCUCAUUGCUAUCUUUAUCCAAGGCAAAAUUGCCUUUGCAGUAGAAGUGUUUCCUUUUAUAUAAACUAUUGCUAUAGUAGUUGCUACUUUGUGAACCAUCAUUGGGUCUCAUGCUAGGAGGGUAUUACAAAAGUGCUGUGCUUUUUAAGAAGGUAGCAAGAGAAAUGGAAGCAGUUUGUGGGUUUGCAGUUAAGGAGACCCUGACCAGGAACCACCCCAGAGCUUUUUCCAGUUGUGGUCUAAAGAAGGAUGUGCACACACAUGGUAAAGAAUCUGCAAUCAAAAUUGGCAAGAAGAGUAUUGCAGUAAGAAACUGAGAGAGCAGAGCUCUGCAGCACCUUGGGCCAGGGUGGGAAUCAGCAGUAAAGCCAUGUCCUGGGGUCUGGUGAGAUUGUGAGUGGAGACAGGUGCCAGGGACACCCCAAACCUGGAGGUGCAGUGAUGAUGGUCCAGCAGAUGAAGAUGUCAGUAACUUAUACAAUAACAAAAUCACAGAAUGGUUUGGGUUAGAAGGAACCUUUAGAGGUCAUCUUCUUCCAGCCCCCUGCCAUGUGCAGGGACACCUUUUACUAGAUCAGGUUGCUCAAAGCCCCAUCCAACCUCACCUUGAACACCUCCAGGGAUGGGGCAGACACAGAGCUUCUGGGCAUCCUGUGCCAGGGCCUCACCACCUUCACUGCAGAAAACUUCUUCCUUAUAUCUAACCUAAAUUGACCCUCUUUUCAUUUAAAACCAUUUAGUUUAAACACCCUGGGCAAGGAGGGAGUGAAGGUUCUGUUGCAGAGUGUUUCCCCUGCUGAGAUAAUGAGACCACCACAUGCUCCAGCAAUGCUGCUCUGCUGCCUCUUUAGGUGACAGCCUGAACAGGAAACAGCCAAAUUACACCUAAUGAGCUUUCAUGCUUUGACUGUAAGUGAUGAGGAUAGACACUUCUGAUGGAAGACAUUUCCUCCAAACCUGCCUCCAUUGUUCACAUCCUGAAAAAGUGGGAAUUCACCCCAUAUUUCUGAGACUAAUGAUCUGCACUGGGCAAACCCUGCAUGGGCUCCAGCAGAGCCCACGAUUCCUUCACUGGAAGGAUGAGCUGCUGUAGGAGCUUGUGAUCCAGCAGGAUCAGCAUCUUCCCCACCAGCCAACCUGGGAAAAAAACAGACAAGGAGGCAAAGGUCAACCUCAGAAUAUCUGAAAAGUUGUAUUUAGGUUAAGGAUUAUUUUGCCCUGAAAAAUGUCUGUCUGAAUUCACAGCUGUAAAGAGCUGCAGUUGCCAGGAGCAAUGGGGAUUCUUACCAGCCCAAGACAGAGCCCUUGGUUUUAAUACUAAAUCAGAUCAAGUCUACAGUUCUUAAAAAACUCUUGUUUCCAUGGGAAGGGCCUGCUUUUCACUAACCUAUAAUUUAAGAAAUAGUUUGGAGAGUUAAGCUGUAUUUUGAAAAAUGAAUUCUCCUUCAGGCUGAUGGCUUUUACAGCCUAACCAGCCUUAGAACAAUGUCAUGUGAAAUGACAGAGAUCAAGACCUUUAGUUAAACUGUACAAGAAAAAGAGCUUUGGAGAAUAAAGUGCAUGAUCAUUAAUUAUUGCAGCACAAGGAACACAGCUGUAAUUUUUUUGUUUGCCCAGAAUAUCUCCUACAAAUUUUAUCAGUCUAAUUGUUAAUACAUGAAAACUGGAGUCCUUGUUUUUUCAUGUCUUUUGGUAGUGAUCAAAAUUAGACAAGAUUUCUAGUUACAGCUGCUAUUAAUAAACCUACUCCUUGAAAAUGUGGUAGUUAAUUUCUUAGGAUUCAGUGCACUCAAUAAGCUAUUGAAAACUAUAAUUGCUCAUGGCUGUAAUUUUGAAGUAAUUCUAGAAAUAACUAUAGAAGAAAUGCUGAACAUAGUCUUUCUAACACACUGAAGUUCUCCAGACUGAAAAGCGUCCCUGUCAGGAAAAUCAAGCACAUAAACCCACGGGUACCCUCUGCCCUAAAGUCACUGUUUAUGGACACCUUUGUAGC
Long non-coding RNA from Passer domesticus (house sparrow), 2301 nucleotides. RefSeq lists it as uncharacterized. The record is from RefSeq and is a predicted model, not a curated record. NCBI's taxonomy places the organism in Eukaryota, Metazoa, Chordata, Aves, Passeriformes, Passeridae. The transcript has 4 exons.